UACGUAGGGGGCUAGCGUUGUCCGGAAUCAUUGGGCGUAAAGCGCGUGUAGGCGGCCCGGUAAGUCCGCUGUGAAAGUCGGGGGCUCAACCCUCGAAUGCCGGUGGAUACUGUCGGACUAGAGUACGGAAGAGGCGAGUGGAAUUCCUGGUGUAGCGGUGAAAUGCGCAGAUAUCAGGAGGAACACCAAUUGCGAAGGCAGCUCGCUGGGACGUUACUGACGCUGAGACGCGAAAGCGUGGGGAGCAAACGGG
This 253-nucleotide ribosomal RNA is filed under the name uncultured bacterium. RNAcentral's name for it is "partial 16S ribosomal RNA". It matches the Rfam family "Bacterial small subunit ribosomal RNA", at positions 524 to 776 of the family's 1533-position model. The record is from RNAcentral.